UUUUUUCCUGUUGCCUAGUGGAUGAAGACACUCUUUCACUUCCUGCUUGCCUCUGUGGGGAUGGACACAAGAGGGCUGAGAGGUACAGUCCUUGCCCCCCAAUUCCUGAGGAUAUUCCGGGAAAAGAGAAGACAGCGAUGGCUUGAGAGGGCCUAGGAGCCAAGGGCCAUGGUUCUUACCGAAGUGCAGAAAGACCUUCUGCUCCUUCCUCUCCAUGAGCAGCUGGUCGUGGGACAGGAGGUCUGCAUACUGCUGCUGCUUGAUUUUCUGGACAAUGGUUUCUGCCUCCUGGAGCAGGGACACAGCCAGGCCUCCAGUGAGACAUCCCCGCUUUGCCAACAUGAGGCCCGUUACCACCCGCCUGCCCACACCACCCAGGACCUGGAACCCCCGAGGCCACACCAGAGCCUGGUCCCACGGCUGCCAGGUUUGUUUUGGGGCCAUGGAAGGAGCCGAAAUCCCAGCUCCCUGACUCUGUGGGCAUCGGCAGGAGCGCCAGCCGCCUGGAAUCCAGCGGUCCUCCCUCCUGAGACUGUUACCUCUGCUCCGGCAAAUGCCCUUGGCCAACCUCCUGGGAGAGGAGAAGGAAGACAUGAGCACAACGGGCACCCUUGGCAGGUGGCGCAAUGUGAUCCAUAAAGCGGAGAUGGAGAAAAGCAGAACGGCUUCGUCUGGAGUGGGAGACUCGGCAGUGGCAGGACCGGGGCCGAGGGGGGCACCCCUCCACCACCAGAGGAAAGCUGGGUUUCCAGCCGAAUGGCCUGCAGCCUUGGGAUCCUCAGAGGGGUGGAGGGAGGAGGCUGCUGGUUGGCCAUCCUGCUAGGAUGACCCCCACCCCCACCCCUGGGGACUCAUCGGUCACCCCGCGGGCCUGGCAGACAACACCAUCAGAAGCAGCCAGAAGUCUGGGGAAGAUUUAGACAAAGGAGCCCGGGGCUGGGCGCGCUGCCAUCCUCCCCCACCCCAGCUAACCAGGUUCCUGGUGGGACCAAAUGCCUCACUGAGACCCCUUUUUUUCUUCUGACUUUCAAUCUAUCCUAGACUCGGGGUUCUCAAAACAUGUUCCCCAAACAGCAGCAGCAUCUCCUGGGAGUUGUUGGAAGUGCAAAUUCUCAGGCCCCACCCUGGAGCUGCGAAUCAGGAAUUCUAGAGGCGGGGCCCAGGAAUCUGGGUGAAACAAGCCCUCGGAGUCAGGGGUAGGCAAACGCCGGCCCCAUGCCAGGUGAAAAUGAUUUUUAUGUUUUUAAAUAGUUGGGGGAAAAAAAUCAAAAUAAGGUUUUGUGGCACAUUAAAGUGAUAUGAAAUUCAAAUAGGAGUCCAUAAAUAAGAUUUUAUUGGAACACAGCUACGCCCACACGGUUGAGUAGUUGCAAGAGAGGCUGCAUGACCUGCAGAGCCGAAAUAUAUCCUGGCUGGCCUUUUAGAGACAAGAUUUGCCAACUCCUGCUCUCGGGCAUUCUGACACAUGCAGAAGUCUGAGAACCCGCUCUGGUCAACACAUUAGCUUGAGCCGUACGUAUCGGGUGCUUGAAAAGUGGCAGGUCCCACCGAAGGACGGCUGUGAGUGUACAGAUGCAUCAGCAUUGUGAGUCUCAGCAAGAAAAACAGAAUGUGAAAUAUUGAAUCAUUUUUAUAUCGAAUACCUAUUGAAAUGGUAAUAUUUUGAGUGAACGAUGUUUCGAUUAAAUCUUAUGAAAACCGACUUCUCGGUUUCCUCUUUCCUGAAUGUGGCUCCUAGAAAAUUCGUAACCACCGAUGCAGCUCUCAAUCUGUCUGGGCUGGACAGCACUGCAUGGAGCCUAAGUGGAAGGACCUCAAGGAUCAUCCACCUGCCUCCCCAAUGGGUGGCCCUGCUCCGCUGCGCCCAGGAGGCCUCUCCUUUCCAGCUUUCUCCCCAUCCUGCAGUGUGACCUGAGUUUAAAUCCCUGCCUUCCAGUUUCCUGCCACUGCGCUUGGGACAGGUUAAGGAACAUCAUGGUUGGGGCAGCCCGGGUGGCUCAGCGGCUUAGCGCCGCCUUCAGUCCAGGGUGUGAUCCUGGAGACCCGGGAUCGAGUCCCGCAUCAGGCUCCCUGCAUGGAGCCUGCGUCUCCCUCUGCCUGUGUC
This is a long non-coding RNA of Canis lupus familiaris (dog), 2104 nucleotides long. RefSeq lists it as uncharacterized. The transcript is spliced from 4 exons. NCBI's taxonomy places the organism in Eukaryota, Metazoa, Chordata, Mammalia, Carnivora, Canidae. The record is from RefSeq and is a predicted model, not a curated record.